GUGCACGUAUACGGUGGCCUGUCAGUAGAAGCUCGCGGACACACGCACGCACGCACGCACGCACGCACGGUCAUAGCGGCGACCGCUACUUCGUUGAUCUUCAGCUACAUUUGCACCGACGUGUAUAUAACGUCAUAAGCACGUGAUUGCCGUUGCCAUGACUACUCACAUUAUGAUGUGCUUCGUCAUAACGACCCUCGUGACGUCAGACGCGUCAAGUGACCUGCGGAGGUUACCUUCUUCUUUCGAGUUCACGCGGACGGCGGAAGACGAACCCGGCUUCGGCUUCGGGCGUCCUCGAGACAAUGAAUUUGAUGACGUAACGACAACGACGUUACGAUAUCCGUCGAGCAACGACCAUUAUACAACGGAUUCACCAAUGGCUGAUGUUAACAGCGACGUCAGGUGCAACUCGGACAACAUCCGGGUACGCGCGCGCGUACCGAGCGGAUUCGCCGGAGAGAUCUACGCUGACGGCUUCCAGGACGUGUCGCGCUGCCGCCAGAGGGCGUCUGGUCAGCCUAUCCUCUCGCUCACGCUUCCUCUGGGAGAGUGCGGCGUACACGCGAUCAGAGAUACAGAUGU
This is a long non-coding RNA of Priapulus caudatus, 585 nucleotides long. RefSeq lists it as uncharacterized. NCBI's taxonomy places the organism in Eukaryota, Metazoa, Priapulida, Priapulimorpha, Priapulimorphida, Priapulidae. The record is from RefSeq and is a predicted model, not a curated record. The transcript is spliced from 3 exons.